Long non-coding RNA from Epinephelus fuscoguttatus (brown-marbled grouper), 1079 nucleotides. RefSeq lists it as uncharacterized. The record is from RefSeq and is a predicted model, not a curated record. Lineage: Eukaryota; Metazoa; Chordata; Actinopteri; Perciformes; Serranidae. The transcript has 6 exons.
CUUUGUAGCUUUUCAGCAAACGCAGACGUAAGCAUGGCAUUGAACUCUUCACUUGGAAUGGUCUUUUGCAAAUCCGUUGUAACUUUUAAAGCUGCUGCAUGGUCCUCUUGUGUGAGAGUGCCCAGGUAUGCCUGCCAGCGCAAUCUCUGCAGUGUUUCGAUCAGGAGCUUGUGUGCCCGUAUGCUCCUGUUGUAGUGAUGGCCUGAGAUAACAUCAAUAGAACCUGCAGCCACAACUUCAGAUUCAAUCAAGACAUCCUGUUAGCCUGCAUCAGCAAAAAGCUUCCCAAUACAGGAAAGAUAUGCCAUAGCUGUGUGAAACUCUCCCAUCCUUAUUACAAGUCUCUCUGAGAAAGUGCUUGUCUGCCAACGUAUCUCUUGGGCCUUAGCAUAUAUGGCUUGAUCCAUAACUAUCACUAUUUCUUGUCAGCAAUAGCAGUGGAUCGGCUCAGGGUGGUGUGGACAGUGUGAUCUGUUGGGCUAGCAUCGAUGACAGGAAGAAUGCAGCAUCAGUUCUCCUUCCAGUGGUUUGGGCAUCUCUGUAUUUGUCCUGCUGGAGAUCUAUCUUGAGCACUACAUUCUGUGGACCGGACCUCCUUCCUCUUGUGUGAGCAAGGGCUGUAUCAUGCUCAAGAACCUGGGAGUUAGAUGAGCAGUGGCCAAGACCAUUCAACAACCCUAUGAGCUGUGCUGAGUCUGUCUUAUGCCAAACUGCCAUUGCAAGAGAGCACUGUUUUGGCAUGACCCACCGUCCUUUGGUCACCAUGAUGAGGAGGAAGAGGAGGAAGUGACAACUUCAUGAAUGAUCUCUUCAGCUGUCAGAUCAUCAACAUACACAAGAUAUUUUAUGCCUUUUGAAAUCUCAAGAAAGGAUGUGACUUUUGAAGUCUUGCCUUGAGUACCGUGUGUAGUCUCUGAAACAGAAGUGGUACCGUGUCUCACUAGCCACUAGGUCCCUGUCACAAAUGUGUAGAAGCAGACUCUCAUCCUGUCUUUCUUCAGCAGCAAGAAGUAACUUCCCUGCAUGUUCACUCCAGCUAAAUGGGCAAAUGACUCCCUCCUACGAUGGAAUCAAGUGGG